UGCCCAAAAGAUUCGAAAGAGUGUGAUAGACUGCUUUGAAAAGGCGUCACUUCCUAACCUCAGUGAAGAGGAGAAAAGGAAGAUCCUUCACUUUGUGAUUAUCGGUGGUGGACCUACUGGGGUUGAAUUUGCCGUGGAGUUGCAUGAUUUUAUUGUCGAAGAUCUGGUGAAGCUAUAUCCUGCAAUUGAAGAAAACUCUCAACUCCUACUUGCGCUCCGCCUCUUCCUCCUUUCCAUCGCUCAAUAGGAGGCAGCUCAUCUGGCCGUGCAGCGGACCGCGUCCUCAGCGGGUCGGUGAUGGAGGUUGCAGCUGGUGCACGAUGGCGAUUCCAACGACAACAGGAAUCUGCAACUUGUUAGACUUCUUUGCAACCCCAACAAGGCCCUCGUCUGCUUUGUCUACAUACAUGCAUGAUUUCUAUGAUUGGAAUCAGAUAGCACUAACUAUGUGUCAGACUGCUAAUAUUUAUUUGCUUGAUGAUCCUUGAAGCGCACUCUACGCUCAUAUAUGAUCCCACAUAUUCUAGAUGCUUUCUUGAGGUUUUGGCUAAAAAUCUGUGGUGUACGUCACUCAUCAGGUAACUAUGACGGGCUAAUGCCUUAAGCUGGGACAUACAACAAAAUACUUAUUUUAUGGGAGGAGUUUAUGGAACUGGGUAGUGCUCAUCAGGAUGCUCUUGCAGCAAUUGACACAAUCGAUGUGGCUAAUGGAGCCAUGUUCCGUUUAAAAAGAAAUUCCAUACGCAGAUUUAAUGUGUACGAUCGAACUAUCUUUAGUUUAUUAAGGUACUCUUUCUAAUAUUUUACUGUAAUAGCAGGUUUUAGCCAAUAUUUAGUAUUGAGGUGUUGAUGACAGCAAACACUAUCCUGCUUGUCUGUUUUCUAGACGUGUUUCUAUAUGCUUUUCGGUUGUUAGUUGUGAUACUUUUUAUUGUCUUUCGAAAUUAA
Triticum dicoccoides is the source of this 948-nucleotide long non-coding RNA. RefSeq lists it as uncharacterized. The transcript has 4 exons. The record is from RefSeq and is a predicted model, not a curated record. NCBI's taxonomy places the organism in Eukaryota, Viridiplantae, Streptophyta, Magnoliopsida, Poales, Poaceae.